This 252-nucleotide ribosomal RNA is filed under the name uncultured bacterium. Its description in RNAcentral is "partial 16S ribosomal RNA". It matches the Rfam family "Bacterial small subunit ribosomal RNA", at positions 1 to 239 of the family's 1533-position model. The record is from RNAcentral.
AUCUCAACAUGUGGNUGGUUGGUUUAANGAUCUAACACUGGCCGNUCGUUUUACAGCCUAACACAUGCAAGUCGAACGGCAGCACAGGAGAGCUUGCUCUCUGGGUGGCGAGUGGCGGACGGGUGAGGAAUACAUCGGAAUCUACUCUGUCGUGGGGGAUAACGUAGGAAACUUACGCUAAUACCGCAUACGACCUACGGGUGAAAGCAGGGGAUCUUCGGACCUUGCGCGAUUGAAUGAGUCCGAUAGUAC